UAGUAAGCUCGGCCCACUUCACGGAGAAACAGCAUGUCGUCCCUCACCCUUUCCAUGCAUCGUCACACUGCCAGCGCCUCGCGCGUCGGUGCGGCUGCCUGGGUGAAAAACGCCUGCGCUCCAGCGAGCUUUUAUUUUGGGUAUUGGUUUAGCCACUGGCGCGCCUGAUACCCAAACGGCGCCCACUUGAACGGGUCGCCUACCAGAGAAAAUCUCACCCCCGGUCGGCCUCCCGACCGGGGG
RNAcentral lists this small RNA (243 nucleotides) under Pseudomonas chlororaphis subsp. aureofaciens 30-84. The record is from RNAcentral. Lineage: Bacteria; Pseudomonadati; Pseudomonadota; Gammaproteobacteria; Pseudomonadales; Pseudomonadaceae.